CCUUAACCUGCUAAAUAGCCAGGCCCGCUUUUGCGGGUCGCCGGCUUCUUAGAGGGACUAUCGGAUUUCAAGUCGAUGGAAGUUUGAGGCAAUAACAGGUCUGUGAUGCCCUUAGAUGCCCUGGGCCGCACGCGCGCUACACUGUUGCAUACAGCGAGUUUUUACCUUAACCGAUAGGUUUGGGUAAUCUUUCAAUGUGCAACGUGCUGGGGAUAGAUUAUUGCAAUUAUUAAUCUUGAACGAGGAAUUCCUAGUAAACGCAAGUCAUCAGCUUGCAUUGAAUACGUCCCUGCCCUUUGUACACACCGCCCGUCGCUACUACCGAUUGAAUGGCUUAGUGAGGCUUCCGGACCGUUUAGUGGAGGUCGGCAACGACCACCACCAGAUGGGAAGCUAGUCAAACUUGGUCAUUUAGAGGAAGUAAAAGUCG
This 430-nucleotide ribosomal RNA is filed under the name Pezizales sp. RNAcentral's name for it is "SSU rRNA". It matches the Rfam family "Eukaryotic small subunit ribosomal RNA", at positions 1341 to 1791 of the family's 1831-position model. The record is from RNAcentral. Lineage: Eukaryota; Fungi; Ascomycota; Pezizomycetes; Pezizales.